UUUACGGAGAGUUUGAUCCUGGCUCANGACGAACGNUGGCGGCGCGCAUAAUGCAUGCAAGUCGAACGAAGACCCACCCUUCGG
This 84-nucleotide ribosomal RNA is filed under the name Chloroflexota bacterium. RNAcentral's name for it is "Chloroflexi bacterium partial 16S ribosomal RNA". It matches the Rfam family "Bacterial small subunit ribosomal RNA", at positions 1 to 84 of the family's 1533-position model. The record is from RNAcentral. Lineage: Bacteria; Bacillati; Chloroflexota.